GACAGUAUAGCUCAGCAGUAGAGUCCUUGCUUAACAUGCAUGAGGCCCUGGGUUCAAUCCCCAGCACCCCCA
Molecule: transfer RNA, 72 nt
Filed under: Camelus bactrianus (Bactrian camel)
Lineage: Eukaryota; Metazoa; Chordata; Mammalia; Artiodactyla; Camelidae
Also listed under: 2 other names
Rfam family: tRNA
About the family: Transfer RNA (tRNA) molecules are approximately 80 nucleotides in length. Their secondary structure includes four short double-helical elements and three loops (D, anti-codon, and T loops).
Source: Rfam by way of RNAcentral